AUGGUAACAAUAAGACUUCAUUUCUUCGCCUACUUUAAGCCGUGCAGUGCUGCCUGCCCCAUUGUGCCAUGGGCCCCGGGCUCCUCUGCUGGGCACUGCUUUGUCUCCUGGGAGCAGGCUCAGUGGAGACUGGAGUCACCCAAAGUCCCACACACCUGAUCAGAAUGAGAGGACAGCAAGUGACGCUGAGAUGCUCUCCUCAGUCUGGGCACAACACUGUGUCCUGGUACCAACAGGCCCUGGGUCAGGGGCCCCAGUUUAUUGUUCAGUAUUAUAGGGAGCAAGAGAAUGGCAGAGGAAACUUCCCUCCUAGAUUCUCAGGUCGCCAGUUCCCUAACUAUAGCUCUGAGCUAAAUGUGAACGCCUCGUUGCUGGAGGACUCGGCCCUGUAUCUCUGUGCCAGCAGCUUGGCACAGCCCGGCAGAGUCACUGACAUUCUUGACCAGCAGGGCCGCCGUAGAGGCUCAGAUGUCUUCAGGGGUCAUUACUAUGGCCUCUUCAUGAGCAACUUUGAGGAAUGUUAA
Non-coding RNA from Symphalangus syndactylus (siamang), 524 nucleotides. The record is from the annotation of a RefSeq genome assembly. NCBI's taxonomy places the organism in Eukaryota, Metazoa, Chordata, Mammalia, Primates, Hylobatidae.